GUCCUUUUGAUUUUUAUAUAAGGUCUGACCUGCCCUAUGAAUAUUUAAAUGGCCGCGGUAUACUAACCGUGCAAAGGUAGCAUAGUCAUUUGUCUCUUAAUUGGAGGCUUGAAUGAAGGGUUGGACGAGAUAUAAGCUUUCUUUGUUAUAUUUUAUUGAAUUUGACUUUUGAGUUAAAAGGCUUAAAUUUUUUUAUAGGACGAGAAGACCCUAUAGAAUUUUAUAUAUUUGUAUAAUUGAUUUAUUUAUUUAUUAUUUAAUUUCUUGUUUAAAUAUAUUUUAUUGGGGCGAUGGGAAGAUUUUAAUAACUCUUUUUUGUUUUGAUCAUUGAUUUAUGUUUUAUUCUGAUCCUUUUUUAGAGAUUAUAAGAUUAAAUUACCUUAGGGAUAACAGCGUAAUUCUUUUGGAGAGUUCUUAUCGAUAAAAGAGUUUGCGA
This 436-nucleotide ribosomal RNA is filed under the name Appasus japonicus. RNAcentral describes it as "partial 16S ribosomal RNA". It matches the Rfam family "Bacterial large subunit ribosomal RNA", at positions 1819 to 2523 of the family's 2925-position model. The record is from RNAcentral. Lineage: Eukaryota; Metazoa; Arthropoda; Insecta; Hemiptera; Belostomatidae.